RNAcentral lists this ribosomal RNA (561 nucleotides) under Aureobasidium leucospermi. RNAcentral describes it as "partial large subunit ribosomal RNA". It matches the Rfam family "Eukaryotic large subunit ribosomal RNA", at positions 69 to 634 of the family's 3401-position model. The record is from RNAcentral. Lineage: Eukaryota; Fungi; Ascomycota; Dothideomycetes; Dothideales; Saccotheciaceae.
CGGGGAAUUGGCCCUUAGUAACGGCGAGUGAAGCGGCAACAGCUCAAAUUUGAAAGCUAGCCUUCGGGUUCGCAUUGUAAUUUGUAGAGGAUGCUUUGGGUAAAACGCCAGUCUAAGUUCCUUGGAACAGGACGUCGUAGAGGGUGAGAAUCCCGUAUGUGACUGGAAAUGUUAACCUAUGUAAAGCUCCUUCGACGAGUCGAGUUGUUUGGGAAUGCAGCUCUGAAUGGGAGGUAAAUUUCUUCUAAAGCUAAAUAUUGGCGAGAGACCGAUUGCGCACAAGUAGAGUGAUCGAAAGAUGAAAAGCACUUUGGAAAGAGAGUUAAAAAGCACGUGUGAUUGUUGAAAAGGGAAGCGCUUGCAAUCAGACUUGUUUAAACUGUUCGGCCGGUCUUCUGACCGGUUUACUCUUUUUGGACAGGCCAGCAUCUUUUUCGGCGGCCGGAUAACGGCAUUGUGGAAUGUGGCCUUCACUUCGGUGGAGGUGUUAUAGCCCAGUGUGUAAUACGGCCAGCCCGGGAACUGAAGUUCCGGCGCUUCGGCCUAAGGAGCUUGGCGUAA